RNAcentral lists this ribosomal RNA (90 nucleotides) under Thermoactinomyces vulgaris. Its description in RNAcentral is "partial 16S ribosomal RNA". It matches the Rfam family "Bacterial small subunit ribosomal RNA", at positions 1 to 90 of the family's 1533-position model. The record is from RNAcentral. Lineage: Bacteria; Bacillati; Bacillota; Bacilli; Caryophanales; Thermoactinomycetaceae.
AAACCUUUAACGGAGAGUUUGAUCCUGGCUCAGGAUGAACGCUGGCGGCAUGCCUAAUACAUGCAAGUCGUGCGGGGGUCUUCGGACCCU